Molecule: ribosomal RNA, 253 nt
Filed under: uncultured bacterium
Lineage: Bacteria
Description: partial 16S ribosomal RNA
Rfam family: Bacterial small subunit ribosomal RNA
Source: RNAcentral
UACGAAGGGGGCUAGCGUUGCUCGGAAUUACUGGGCGUAAAGCGCACGUAGGCGGACCGAUAAGUCGGGGGUGAAAUCCUGGAGCUCAACUCCAGAACUGCCUUCGAAACUGCCGGUCUUGAGUUCGGGAGAGGUGAGUGGAACUGCGAGUGUAGAGGUGAAAUUCGUAGAUAUUCGCAAGAACACCAGUGGCGAAGGCGGCUCACUGGCCCGGAACUGACGCUGAGGCGCGAAAGCGUGGGGAGCAAACAGG